This 603-nucleotide ribosomal RNA is filed under the name bacterium MPII.10. RNAcentral describes it as "bacterial SSU rRNA". It matches the Rfam family "Bacterial small subunit ribosomal RNA", at positions 229 to 841 of the family's 1533-position model. The record is from RNAcentral.
ACCCGCGGNCUAUCAGCUUGUUGGUGGGGUAAUGGCCUACCAAGGCGACGACGGGUAGCCGGNCUGAGAGGGCGACCGGCCACACUGGGACUGAGACACGGCCCAGACUCCUACGGGAGGCAGCAGUGGGGAAUAUUGCACAAUGGGCGCAAGCCUGAUGCAGCGACGCCGCGUGAGGGAUGACGGCCUUCGGGUUGUAAACCUCUUUCACCAGGGACGAAGCGNGAGUGACGGUACCUGGAGAAGAAGCACCGGCCAACUACGUGCCAGCAGCCGCGGUAAUACGUAGGGUGCGAGCGUUGUCCGGAAUUACUGGGCGUAAAGAGUUCGUAGGCGGUUUGUCGCGUCGUUCGUGAAAACUUGGGGCUUAACUCCAAGCGUGCGGGCGAUACGGGCAGACUUGAGUACUACAGGGGAGACUGGAAUUCCUGGUGUAGCGGUGAAAUGCGCAGAUAUCAGGAGGAACACCGGUGGCGAAGGCGGGUCUCUGGGUAGUAACUGACGCUGAGGAACGAAAGCGUGGGUAGCGAACAGGAUUAGAUACCCUGGUAGUCCACGCUGUAAACGGUGGGUACUAGGUGUGGGUUCCUUUUCACUGGUGUA